UAUGUAACAUUCUACCCCUGACAGCACUUGCUUUCCGAAGGAGGCACAUGGAUUUCUAAUGUCCUCAGAAAAAGGCAGCAGGCCAAUCAAGGUUAGAAAGCUCCAGCAUCCGUAAAAUCUAACCAUAGAAACCACCACAAGCAGUCACCAAGCACCUUCCGGAUUUGGUGCUCUGACUGCCGAAUAAAAACUGUUUUCAGCCUUUAUGCCUAUAUCUAGUGAACUGUAACGGUAGAAAUUUCAGAUCCACACAACCCCAGCGAUCUGGGACAAAACUCUGUUUAAACAAGAUUCUCAAACUGUGGUCCAUGGAUCACCUAUGGCAUCAGGCUUCCUAGGAGUCCUUGGAAUCGGGUCAGGAUUUAAAACCUACACUAAAGCUGACACACUGGAUUAAGAGAAAUGAGGUGCAGAAAUCCACUUGCUUUGUGAAAUUUCACUGUGCUUUGAAAAUCACUAGGCCUGACCCACUAUUUGGCUUUGCUGACAUAGCGCCUGUUUUUCCUUGUGGGGUCCUCCAAGAAAGCUCUCAGCAGUGUAAAGAUGUAUUUUUUUAAAAAAAGAGGAUGGAGGGACGCUAUCUAUUAAGUUUGGCCCCCGAAUGAACGUGCCUCAUUUCAGAGUCAUGAAUUCCUUCAUACAAAUUUAUGCUAGUGUUAUUUCCCACUGUAUAAUACUCUAAGCACAUCUUCACGGUUAAGUAGGUGGAUUAUAUGGUGUACUUUCCACUAAUCUUAAGCUGUCUGUCAUUCUGAGACAGACAUUCCGGCCUGGUCUAUUUUCCUUCUCCUUUUCUCUCAGUCAACACAGCUUUUAUAAGUAUAAUGGGUGCUUACUCUAGGAAUAUGGUGACUCCCAAACUACACAGAAAAAUCUGGUGAGCUUUUAUUAAACUUCCAAAUUCACAAAGAAUCCCCAAGGCAUCUCUACAGGAUGUCUGGUUUGUGGGGCAUCUCAGAAUCAAUGAGUUUCUUAAGAAUGGUUAAAUGGCAAAUGUUUUACUGUAUUUCACCAAAACGAAGAAAAAUACUAGAGGAGAAGUAAUUUGACUACCUGUGAGAGUGAACCAAGAAAGAGGGAACUUGGGGCUUGGGAAGAAUGAAGCCCAGCUCAACCACAAUGCAGAAAGGAUUCUCAGGACAAUGGUGAGAUUGGACACCAUGGGGCAGCUGUGCAGUGGAAAUGGACAGCAGCCCUCCCAGACUGCCAUGAUGAGGGUUUGGGGAAAUGCAUCUCCAACCAAAUAAAAGCAUAGUGGUUUGGCCUAAGCCCGGCAGCCAACUGAGAGGGAACAUAGGGCUAAAAAGAACAGUUGCAUAAAAGCCUAAGCAAGUAAAUGGAACCUAAGUAUGCUAUUCCUGGGCAGACUAGACUUGGGACAGGAAGGGCCAUCUUGGUCAUCUUUAACAUUGCACCCUCAGUGAUUAAUUUAAUACACCUAGUCAUGAUAGUGAGAUAGUAACUAGUGAUCCCACCAAUUUUAUAACAAAAUUGCAUCAAGAAGAAGGGACAUAAAAGGGGGGAUGGGAAGAAAUAUGCUCAAAACACAUUAUGUACCUGUGUGGAAAUGUCAUAGGGAAAUAAAACCUAUACGAUUAACAUAACCAGUCACUUUUUAAAGAAGUGGGAGCUGGAAAGAUGGCCCAGCAGACAAAGAAAGACGUCCGUGCAAGCUGGAACCCACAUGUGAAAGAAAGAACCCCUGCUCCUGAAGACAGCCCAUGGUACACAAGUGGGUACAUGCUCAAACACACACACAAUCAGUCAAUGCAACCCGAAGUUUGAACAAGAAGACAGGGCGAGCACUGGGCACCAAGGUGAGCAGGAAUGUAUUUCAAAUUGUAAGAAGAAAAGCCAAACUCUUCCUGAAAGGCUAGGAGAUACACUUGGAUUUGUUUUCCUCACCGUGCUGUUAGCUCCCGUCAGUGAGGGGCACAGCUGUUGGAAAGAGUCUUCAGGGAGCCUCCAGCAAGACUCAAUCCAAGCAGAAGCUGGGAAGAGCCUUCAUCCAGUAGCCGAUGGAAGCAGAAACAGAAGCAGGCACCCACAGCUAAGCCA
This is a long non-coding RNA of Mesocricetus auratus (golden hamster), 2058 nucleotides long. RefSeq lists it as uncharacterized. The transcript has 3 exons. The record is from RefSeq and is a predicted model, not a curated record. Lineage: Eukaryota; Metazoa; Chordata; Mammalia; Rodentia; Cricetidae.